UUCCUGGUGGCCCAGUGGUUAAGACUCUUCACUUCCAAUGCAGGGGGCACAGGUUCAAUUCCUGGCCAGAGAA
Molecule: transfer RNA, 73 nt
Filed under: Capra hircus (goat)
Lineage: Eukaryota; Metazoa; Chordata; Mammalia; Artiodactyla; Bovidae
Also listed under: 1 other name
Rfam family: tRNA
About the family: Transfer RNA (tRNA) molecules are approximately 80 nucleotides in length. Their secondary structure includes four short double-helical elements and three loops (D, anti-codon, and T loops). Further hydrogen bonds mediate the characteristic L-shaped molecular structure. tRNAs have two regions of fundamental functional importance: the anti-codon, which is responsible for specific mRNA codon recognition, and the 3' end, to which the tRNAs corresponding amino acid is attached (by aminoacyl-tRNA synthetases). tRNAs cope with the degeneracy of the genetic code in two manners: having more than one tRNA (with a specific anti-codon) for a particular amino acid; and 'wobble' base-pairing, i.e. permitting non-standard base-pairing at the 3rd anti-codon position.
Source: Rfam by way of RNAcentral